Molecule: ribosomal RNA, 429 nt
Filed under: Gemmatimonadota bacterium
Lineage: Bacteria; Pseudomonadati; Gemmatimonadota
Description: Gemmatimonadetes bacterium partial 16S ribosomal RNA
Rfam family: Bacterial small subunit ribosomal RNA
Source: RNAcentral
UAGGGAAUCUUCGGCAAUGGACGAAAGUCUGACCGAGCAACGCCGCGUGAGUGAAGAAGGUUUUCGGAUCGUAAAACUCUGUUGUUAGAGAAGAACAAGGACGUUAGUAACUGAACGUCCCCUGACGGUAUCUAACCAGAAAGCCACGGCUAACUACGUGCCAGCAGCCGCGGUAAUACGUAGGUGGCAAGCGUUGUCCGGAUUUAUUGGGCGUAAAGCGAGCGCAGGCGGUUUCUUAAGUCUGAUGUGAAAGCCCCCGGCUCAACCGGGGAGGGUCAUUGGAAACUGGGGGACUUGAGUGCAGAAGAGGAGAGUGGAAUUCCAUGUGUAGCGGUGAAAUGCGUAGAUAUAUGGAGGAACAACAGUGGCGAAGGCGGCUCUCUGGUCUGUAACUGACGCUGAGGCUCGAAAGCGUGGGGAGCAAACAGG